GAUGAACGCUAGCGAUAGGCUUAACACAUGCGAGUCGAGGGGUAACGUGUUGGAAGCUUGCUUCCGAUGACGACGACCGGCGGAUGGGUGCGUAACGCGUAUGCAACUUGCCUCACAGUGGAGAAUAACCCGGAGAAAUCCGGACUAAUACUCCAUACACUCUUAAGUACGCCUGUACAUGAGAGGAAAGAUUUAUCGCUGUGAGAUAGGCAUGCGUCCUAUUAGGUAGUUGGUGAGGUAACGGCUCACCAAGCCGACGAUAGGUAGGGGUGCUGAGAGGCAGAUCCCCCACAUUGGGACUGAGACACGGCGCAAACUACUACCGGAGGCAGCAGUGAGGAAUAUUGGUAAAUGGAGGAAACGCUGAACCAGCCAAGUCGCGUGAAGGAAGAAUGUCCUAAGGAUUGUAAACUUCUUUAGCGAGCGAGUAAGGACUUCCACGUGAUGGGAGUUUGAAAGUAGCUCGAGAAUAAGUAUCGGCUAACUCCGUG
This 491-nucleotide ribosomal RNA is filed under the name uncultured bacterium. RNAcentral's name for it is "partial 16S ribosomal RNA". It matches the Rfam family "Bacterial small subunit ribosomal RNA", at positions 28 to 507 of the family's 1533-position model. The record is from RNAcentral.